Danaus plexippus (monarch butterfly) is the source of this 1200-nucleotide long non-coding RNA. RefSeq lists it as uncharacterized. The record is from RefSeq and is a predicted model, not a curated record. NCBI's taxonomy places the organism in Eukaryota, Metazoa, Arthropoda, Insecta, Lepidoptera, Nymphalidae. The transcript is spliced from 2 exons.
GUAUCAUUGGAUUUCCAAAAUAUUUCAGUUCGAUUGGAUGCGACAAAGAAUUCAAAAAAGACGGACAGACAAACUAAAUUUGUGAGGAGCAGUGCCCGGAUCUGAAAAUAGCAAAUGCGUCAAGAGACGGAGAAAUACGAUGAGUCUCGCCGAUAUGAUGGUGGGGCGAUAAACAAGAACGAUGACUGGCAAAGUUAUCUCUGACUCAGAAGUAAUAAGACAAAUAUUCAACAAAUCAAAAUGGCACAUGUUUAUUUGUUGUAUAAAAGUAUCGAAUCAUUUACAGGAAUAAAUAUUGAAACGAGGACAAAAUGUGCAUUUAAGUGAAAUUUAUUUACUGUGAAAAUAAAAAGUUUGGAUGGUCGAGUUUAAAGCGACAAAUUAAUUGCUUUGCAGAUGUGGUUAAAAUGAUUAAUGUGAGCCGUCUCGAGCGGGAUUAAAAAAUGAGUUUACCAAAUAUUCUUUUACGACAAAAAGUUAACUCAGUUUAUUUUAAAAUAACAAAUAUACAUUAAAACUAUAUAUGGUUUUGAUUUUGAAGUCACUCAGCAAGUUAUGAAGAGAGCUGUAUUUAGUUUCUUUAAAGGAUCGAAAACGAAAGGAAUUUAUUCGCCAGAAAACUACGCAAACCGACAUAACUCAGCGGGUAAGCAAGCUGAAGUGGCAAAGUGUAGACUACAUAUAUUACAGAACUAUAGGAAAAAAAAAAUUCUAGCGUGGACACCUCUAACCGAUAAAAGAAGUAAAGGCCUAGUAGUUAGGAGAGACGAAGAUAUCAGUAAACCGUAAUCCGUAAUCCGUAGAAAAGAGUUGAAGGUCGAACUCAGUGGCUUGAUUAAGAGGAGCCCUAUUCCCAGUAGUUGACUAUUUAUAUCUGAUGAUAAUGGAACUGUUGUUUGAAAUUGUUAAUCUUUUUAUUUGAAUAUUAUUAUUUAAUGUGAUUCGAGCUUAAGUCUGUUAUAUUUAUAAUACUAACUUAAUAUUUUUCAUAAAGACAAUGUGGUACAUGGAUAUUUUAAUUGAUUAAUAUGUAAGUAGAGUUUUGUUUUUAUAUUACAGUUAUUAUAACGAAGUGAACGUAUGGUCAGACCUAUGAAAUAUUCAGAUACUCAGUAAACAGACAAGUUUUCAACCCUUGUUUUUUGCGUGUUUACGUAGGAGUAUUGAAAAACAUGUUGAAUAUUAAAUUGUUGGGUUUUA